RNAcentral lists this ribosomal RNA (460 nucleotides) under uncultured bacterium. RNAcentral describes it as "partial 16S ribosomal RNA". It matches the Rfam family "Bacterial small subunit ribosomal RNA", at positions 338 to 795 of the family's 1533-position model. The record is from RNAcentral.
ACUACGGGUGGCAGCAGUGAGGAAUAUUGGGCAAUGGACGAGAGUCUGAACCAGCCAAGUAGAGUGAAGGAGGACGGCCCGAUGGGGUGUAAACUUCUAUUAUAAAGGAAUAAAACGAGGCACGUGUGCCGUUUUGCAUGUACUUUAUGAAUAAGGAUCGGCUAACUCAGUGCCAGCAGCCGCGGUAAUCCGGAGGAUCCGAGCGUUAUCCGGAUUUAUUGGGUUUAAAGGGUACGUAGAUGGGUUCUUAAUUCAUUUGUGAAAGUUUGCGGCUCAACCGUAAAAUUGCAAUUGAUACUGGCAGUCUUGAGUACAGUUGAGGUAGGCGGAAUUCGUGGUGUAGCGGUGAAAUGCUUAGAUAUCACGAAGAACUCCGAUUGCGAAGGCAGCUUACUAAACUGCCACUGACAUUGAUGCUCGAAAGUGUGGGUAUCAAACAGGAUUAGAUACCCCUGUAGUC